UACGGAGGGUGCAAGCGUUAAUCGGAAUUACUGGGCGUAAAGCGUGCGUAGGCGGUUUGUUAAGUCUGUUGUGACAGCCCCGGGCUCAACCUGGGAAUGGCAAUGGAUACUGGCAAGCUAGAGUGUGUCAGAGGAUGGCGGAAUUCCCGGUGUAGCGGUGAAAUGCGUAGAGAUCGGGAGGAACAUCAGUGGCGAAGGCGGCUAUCUGGACCGACAUUGACGCUGAGGCGCGAAAGCGUGGGGAGCAAACAGG
This 253-nucleotide ribosomal RNA is filed under the name uncultured bacterium. RNAcentral describes it as "partial 16S ribosomal RNA". It matches the Rfam family "Bacterial small subunit ribosomal RNA", at positions 524 to 776 of the family's 1533-position model. The record is from RNAcentral.